RNAcentral lists this ribosomal RNA (816 nucleotides) under Phylloporus pelletieri. Its description in RNAcentral is "LSU rRNA". It matches the Rfam family "Eukaryotic large subunit ribosomal RNA", at positions 113 to 915 of the family's 3401-position model. The record is from RNAcentral. Lineage: Eukaryota; Fungi; Basidiomycota; Agaricomycetes; Boletales; Boletaceae.
AUUUUAAAUCUGGCGGUCUUCAUGGUCGUCCGAGUUGUAAUCUAGAGAAGCGUCUUCCGCGCUGGACCGUGUACAAGUCUCCUGGAAGGGAGCAUCAUAGAGGGUGAGAAUCCCGUCUUUGACACGGACGACCAAGUGCUAUGUGAUGCGCUCUCGAAGAGUCGAGUUGUUUGGGAAUGCAGCUCAAAACGGGUGGUAAAUUCCAUCUAAAGCUAAAUAUGGGCGAGAGACCGAUAGCGAACAAGUACCGUGAGGGAAAGAUGAAAAGAACUUUGGAAAGAGAGUUAAACAGUACGUGAAAUUGCUGAAAGGGAAACGCUUGAUGUCAGUCGCGUCCGCCAGGGAUCAACCUUGCUUUAUCGCUGGGCGCAUUUCUUGGUCGGACGGGUCAGCAUCAGUUUCCAUCGUCGUAUAAUGGCGGAGGGAACGUGGCACCUCUAGGGGUGUGUUAUAGCCUUCGGUCGUAUGCGUCGGUAGGGGACUGAGGAACUCGGCACGACCUUUUCUUCAGGUCUGUGUCUAGGAUGCUGGCAUAAUGGCCUUAAGCGACCCGUCUUGAAACACGGACCAAGGAGUCUAACAUGCCUGCGAGUGUUCGGGUGGUAAAACUCGAGCGCGCAAUCAAAGUGAAAGUCGAGAUCUCUGUCGUGGAGAGCAUCGACGCCCGGACCAGAGUCUUUGACGAAGGAUCUGCGGUAGAGCAUGCAUGUUGGGACCCGAAAGAUGGUGAACUAUGCCUGAAUAGGGUGAAGCCAGAGGAAACUCUGGUGGAGGCUCGUAGCGAUUCUGACGUGCAAAUCGAUCGUCGAAUUUGGG